This 465-nucleotide ribosomal RNA is filed under the name Vreelandella stevensii. RNAcentral's name for it is "partial 16S ribosomal RNA". It matches the Rfam family "Bacterial small subunit ribosomal RNA", at positions 338 to 795 of the family's 1533-position model. Lineage: Bacteria; Pseudomonadati; Pseudomonadota; Gammaproteobacteria; Oceanospirillales; Halomonadaceae. The record is from RNAcentral.
CCUACGGGUGGCAGCAGUGGGGAAUAUUGGACAAUGGGCGAAAGCCUGAUCCAGCCAUGCCGCGUGUGUGAAGAAGGCCUUCGGGUUGUAAAGCACUUUCAGUGGGGAAGAAAGCCUUGGGGCUAAUACCCUCGAGGAAGGACAUCACCCACAGAAGAAGCACCGGCUAACUCCGUGCCAGCAGCCGCGGUAAUACGGAGGGUGCGAGCGUUAAUCGGAAUUACUGGGCGUAAAGCGCGCGUAGGCGGUCUGAUAAGCCGGUUGUGAAAGCCCCGGGCUCAACCUGGGAACGGCAUCCGGAACUGUCAGGCUAGAGUGCAGGAGAGGAAGGUAGAAUUCCCAGUGUAGCGGUGAAAUGCGUAGAGAUCGGGAGGAAUACCAGUGGCGAAGGCGGCCUUCUGGACUGACACUGACGCUGAGGUGCGAAAGCGUGGGUAGCAAACAGGAUUAGAUACCCCUGUAGUC